This 209-nucleotide ribosomal RNA is filed under the name uncultured bacterium. RNAcentral describes it as "partial 16S ribosomal RNA". It matches the Rfam family "Bacterial small subunit ribosomal RNA", at positions 568 to 776 of the family's 1533-position model. The record is from RNAcentral.
CGCGUAGGCGGCUUUAUAAGUCUGGAGUGAAAGUCCUCUUUUCAAGGGAGGAAUUGCUUUGGAAACUAUAGAGCUUGAGUGCAGGAGAGGUUAUCGGAAUUCCCGGUGUAGCGGUGAAAUGCGUAGAUAUCGGGAGGAACAUCGGUGGCGAAGGCGGGUAACUGGACUGCAACUGACGCUGAGGCGCGAAAGUGUGGGGAGGCAAAACA